GACGAACGCUGGCGGCGUGCUUAACACAUGCAAGUCGAACGGGGUCCAACCAGUGGCAACACUGGGGAAGAUCUAGUGGCGAACGGGUGAGUAACACGUGAGAAACCUGCCCCGGACUCAGGAAUAACAGUGGGAAACCGCUGCUAAUACCAGAUGCCGUCGCAGCAUCACAUGGUGCAGCGACGAAAGAAUUUCGGUUCGGGAGGGUCUCGCGGCCUAUCAGCUAGUUGGUGGGGUAACGGCCUACCAAGGCAUCGACGGGUAGCUGGUCUGAGAGGAUGAUCAGCCACACUGGGACUGAGACACGGCCCAGACUCCUACGGGAGCAGCAGUGAGGAAUAUUGGUCAA
RNAcentral lists this ribosomal RNA (349 nucleotides) under uncultured bacterium. RNAcentral's name for it is "bacterial SSU rRNA". It matches the Rfam family "Bacterial small subunit ribosomal RNA", at positions 28 to 371 of the family's 1533-position model. The record is from RNAcentral.